UGCGAAGGGGGCUAGCGUUGUUCGGAAUUACUGGGCGUAAAGCGCACGUAGGUGGCUUUGUAAGUUAGAGGUGAACGCCCGGGGCUCAACCCCGGAAUUGCCCUUAAGACUGCAUCGCUUGAAUUGUGGAGAGGUGAGUGGAAGUCCGAGUGUAGAGGUGAAAGUCGUAGAUAGUCGGAAGAACACCAGUGGCGAAGGCGACUCACUGGACACAUAUUGACACUGAGGUGCGAAAGCGUGGGGAGCAAACAGG
RNAcentral lists this ribosomal RNA (253 nucleotides) under uncultured bacterium. RNAcentral's name for it is "partial 16S ribosomal RNA". It matches the Rfam family "Bacterial small subunit ribosomal RNA", at positions 524 to 776 of the family's 1533-position model. The record is from RNAcentral.